GGAGAGGAGAGGAGAGGAGAGAGAAAGAGAAAGAGGGAGAUAUGGCGCUGACGCUGUACGGGAUGCCUCCGUCAACCAACACAGUGAGGGUGGUGGCUGCCCUGCUGGAGAAGAACUUGGAGUAUGAGUUCGUCCUCGUCAACAUCACCACCGGUGCCCACAAGCAACCUGAUUUCCUCGCACUCAACCCAUUCGGUCAGAUCCCGGUUCUCACCGAUGGAGACAUCACCCUCUUCGAAUCCAGAGCCAUCACCAAAUACGUAGCCACAAAGUACGCUGGAACUGGCCCUGACCUCCUCGGAAGUGCCAGCCCCGUAGCUGCGGCAGAUAUAGAAGUAUGGCUCCAAGUAGAGUCACAACAGUUCAACCCACCCAUUUCUGCCAUCGUCUUCGAGCUGCUGAUCAAGCCGAUGCUCGGAGGCACCACCAACCCAGAAGUCGUGGAGGCAGAGGCGGCGAAGCUGGCGAUAGUACUGGACGUGUAUGAAGGCAGGCUGACAGGAAGCAAGUACAUUGCUGGAGAGGAGUUCAGUCUGGCCGAUCUUAAUCACAUCCCGUAUAUGAAUUAUUUGAUGAGGACGUCCAAGGCUGAGCUGAUCACUUCCCGGCAACAUGUGAUGGCUUGGUGGGAGGAGAUAUCUGCACGUCCGGCUUGGAAGAGGACCCUUGCAACUAUUACCAUCUGAGUGGUUUGUAAUCUGUCUUGGCUUGGAAGAGGAACGUUGCAACUAUUACCAUCUGAGAGGUUUGAAACCUGUCUUGUUAGCUUGUUUGUUGGACUAAUAACGAUCCUUGGAAUAAAGAUGGUUUGUUUUACAAUGCCAA
Molecule: unclassified non-coding RNA, 825 nt
Filed under: Hevea brasiliensis (rubber tree)
Lineage: Eukaryota; Viridiplantae; Streptophyta; Magnoliopsida; Malpighiales; Euphorbiaceae
Source: RNAcentral